This 497-nucleotide ribosomal RNA is filed under the name uncultured bacterium. Its description in RNAcentral is "partial 16S ribosomal RNA". It matches the Rfam family "Bacterial small subunit ribosomal RNA", at positions 28 to 507 of the family's 1533-position model. The record is from RNAcentral.
GAUGAACGCUGGCGGCGUGCCUAAUACAUGCAAGUCGAGCGAACGGACGAGAAGCUUGCUUCUCUGAUGUUAGCGGCGGACGGGUGAGUAACACGUGGAUAACCUACCUAUAAGACUGGGAUACCUUCGGGAAACCGGAGCUAAUACCGGAUGAUAUUUUGAACCGCAUGGUUCAAAAGUGAAAGACGGUCUUGCUAUCACUUAUAGAUGGAUCCGCGCUGCAUUAGCUAGUUGGUAAGGUAACGGGUUACCAAGGCAACGGAGCUUAGCCGACCUGAGAGGGUGAUCGGCCACCCGGGAUGUGAGGCAGGGCCCAGACUCCUACGGUGGGCAGCGGUAGGAAAUCUUCCGCGAUGGGGGAGAGCCGAACGUUGCGACGUCGCCGGAAGGAUGAAGGUCUCCGGAUCGGAAAACGCUGUUAGUAUGAGAAAACAUAAAUGUUUGUAACGGGGCACAUCAUGACGGUACCUAAACAGAAAGCCACGGCUAACUACGUG